Molecule: ribosomal RNA, 1408 nt
Filed under: uncultured bacterium
Lineage: Bacteria
Description: bacterial SSU rRNA
Rfam family: Bacterial small subunit ribosomal RNA
Source: RNAcentral
AGAGUUUGAUCAUGGCUCAGGACGAACGCUGGCGGCGUGCCUAAUACAUGCAAGUAGAACGCUGAAGAGAGGAGCUUGCUCUUCUUGGAUGAGUUGCGAACGGGUGAGUAACGCGUAGGUAACCUGCCUUGUAGCGGGGGAUAACUAUUGGAAACGAUAGCUAAUACCGCAUAACAAUAGGUGACACAUGUCAUUUAUUUGAAAGGGGCAAUUGCUCCACUACAAGAUGGACCUGCGUUGUAUUAGCUAGUAGGUGAGGUAACGGCUCACCUAGGCGACGAUACAUAGCCGACCUGAGAGGGUGAUCGGCCACACUGGGACUGAGACACGGCCCAGACUCCUACGGGAGGCAGCAGUAGGGAAUCUUCGGCAAUGGGGGCAACCCUGACCGAGCAACGCCGCGUGAGUGAAGAAGGUUUUCGGAUCGUAAAGCUCUGUUGUAAGUCAAGAACGAGUGUGAGAGUGGAAAGUUCACACUGUGACGGUAGCUUACCAGAAAGGGACGGCUAACUACGUGCCAGCAGCCGCGGUAAUACGUAGGUCCCGAGCGUUGUCCGGAUUUAUUGGGCGUAAAGCGAGCGCAGGCGGUUUGAUAAGUCUGAAGUUAAAGGCUGUGGCUCAACCAUAGUUCGCUUUGGAAACUGUCAAACUUGAGUGCAGAAGGGGAGAGUGGAAUUCCAUGUGUAGCGGUGAAAUGCGUAGAUAUAUGGAGGAACACCGGUGGCGAAAGCGGCUCUCUGGUCUGUAACUGACGCUGAGGCUCGAAAGCGUGGGGAGCGAACAGGAUUAGAUACCCUGGUAGUCCACGCCGUAAACGAUGAGUGCUAGGUGUUGGAUCCUUUCCGGGAUUCAGUGCCGCAGCUAACGCAUUAAGCACUCCGCCUGGGGAGUACGACCGCAAGGUUGAAACUCAAAGGAAUUGACGGGGGCCCGCACAAGCGGUGGAGCAUGUGGUUUAAUUCGAAGCAACGCGAAGAACCUUACCAGGUCUUGACAUCCCGAUGCUAUUUCUAGAGAUAGAAAGUUACUUCGGUACAUCGGUGACAGGUGGUGCACGGUUGUCGUCAGCUCGUGUCGUGAGAUGUUGGGUUAAGUCCCGCAACGAGCGCAACCCCUACUGUUAGUUGCCAUCAUUCAGUUGGGCACUCUAGCGAGACUGCCGGUAAUAAACCGGAGGAAGGUGGGGAUGACGUCAAAUCAUCAUGCCCCUUAUGACCUGGGCUACACACGUGCUACAAUGGUUGGUACAACGAGUUGCGAGUCGGUGACGGCAAGCUAAUCUCUUAAAGCCAAUCUCAGUUCGGAUUGUAGGCUGCAACUCGCCUACAUGAAGUCGGAAUCGCUAGUAAUCGCGGAUCAGCACGCCGCGGUGAAUACGUUCCCGGGCCUUGCACACACCGCCCGUCAA